GACAUCUCAAAUCGCAGGUUGGUCGUUUGGCCAAUCUAUGGCAGGUGCCCACUGUGACUAAGUACCCAAGUCCUUGUGAGGCUAUUUCGCCAGGUUUCAGUGAGCCAAAUAUACUUUCAUCAUGUCUUGCAUAUGUGCAUCCACAAAGGAGCGAUAUAUCCAAUUCGUUGUUGCCUCAGAACUUUGAUGAGAAAUCUGAAUAUCCGACCAAAACUGAUGCGCA
Molecule: long non-coding RNA, 223 nt
Filed under: Solanum tuberosum (potato)
Lineage: Eukaryota; Viridiplantae; Streptophyta; Magnoliopsida; Solanales; Solanaceae
Description: long non-coding RNA (STUB_LNC002907)
Source: RNAcentral